GAACGCUAGCGGCAGGCUUAACACAUGCAAGUCGAGGGGCAUCACGGGUAGCAAUACCUGGUGGCGACCGGCGCAAGGGUGCGUAACGCGUGAGCAACAUGCCCUAUACAGGGGGAUAAUCCAGGGAAACUUGGUCUAAUAUCCCAUAGCAUUUAGAGGUGGCAUCACCAUUAAAUUAAAGCUUCGGUGGUAUAGGAUUGGCUCGCGUGACAUUAGCUAGAUGGUGGGGUAACGGCUCACCAUGGCUAUGAUGUCUAGGGGUUCUGAGAGGAAGACCCCCCACACUGGGACUGAGACACGGCCCAGACUCCUACGGAAGGCAGCAGUGAGGAAUAUUGGACAAUGGAUGGAAAUCUGAUCCAGCCAUGCCGCGUGCAGGAAGACGGCCCUAUGGGUUGUAAACUGCUUUUAUAUGGGAGCAAUAAGGUCUACGAGUAGACCGAUGAGAGUACCAUAUGAAUAAGCAUCGGCUAACUCCGUG
RNAcentral lists this ribosomal RNA (481 nucleotides) under uncultured bacterium. Its description in RNAcentral is "bacterial SSU rRNA". It matches the Rfam family "Bacterial small subunit ribosomal RNA", at positions 31 to 507 of the family's 1533-position model. The record is from RNAcentral.